Molecule: ribosomal RNA, 99 nt
Filed under: uncultured bacterium
Lineage: Bacteria
Description: partial 16S ribosomal RNA
Rfam family: Bacterial small subunit ribosomal RNA
Source: RNAcentral
CACACCGCCCGUCACAUCACGAAAAGUGAGCUGUACUAGAAGUCGCCCCAGCCAACCGUAAGGGGGCAGGCGCCCAAGGUAUGGCCCAUGAUUGGGGUG